Molecule: ribosomal RNA, 585 nt
Filed under: uncultured fungus
Lineage: Eukaryota; Fungi
Description: SSU rRNA
Rfam family: Eukaryotic small subunit ribosomal RNA
Source: RNAcentral
GGAGCCCUGCGGCUUAACUGUUGACUCAACACGGGAAAACUCACCAGGCCCGGACAUGGGAAGGAUUGACAGAUUGAGAGCUCUUNUCUUGAUUCUAUGGGUGGCUGGUGCAUGGCCGUUCUUAGCUUGGUGGAGUGAUUUGUCUGGUUAAUUCCGAUAACGAACGAGACCUUAACCUGCUAAAUAGAGAUGCGAACCUGCGUUCGUAGGCUCUUCUUAGAGGGACUGACUACGUUUAGUGGUCGGAAGUUUGAGGCAAUAACAGGUCUGUGAUGCCCUUAGAUGUUCUGGGCUGCACGCGCGCUACACUGACAGAGGCAGCGAGUAUACAACCUUGACCGGAAGGUCUGGGUAAUCUUUUGAAACUCUGUCGUGCUGGGGAUAGAGCAUUGCAAUUAUUGCUCUUCAACGAGGAAUUCCUAGUAAGCGCAUGUCAUCAGCAUGCGUUGAUUACGUCCCUGCCCUUUGUACACACCGCCCGUCGCUACUACCGAUUGAAUGGCUUAGUGAGACCUUCUGAUUGAGGCUUGGUGGCCGCAAGGCUGCUGGGCUUUGAAAAGUUGUUCAAACUGGUCAUUUAGAGGA